UACGAACUGUGCAAACGUUAUUCGGAAUCACUGGGCUUAAAGGGUGCGUAGGCGGCUCAUUAGGUAGGGUGUGAAAGCCCCCGGCUCAACCGGGGAAUUGCGCCCUAAACCGGCGGGCUGGAGUGAGAUAGGGGUGUGUGGAACUUCCAGUGGAGCGGUGAAAUGUGUUGAUAUUGGAAGGAACGCCGGUGGCGAAAGCGACACACUGGGUCUCAACUGACGCUGAGGCACGAAAGCCAGGGGAGCAAACGGG
This 253-nucleotide ribosomal RNA is filed under the name uncultured bacterium. Its description in RNAcentral is "partial 16S ribosomal RNA". It matches the Rfam family "Bacterial small subunit ribosomal RNA", at positions 524 to 776 of the family's 1533-position model. The record is from RNAcentral.